This 114-nucleotide ribosomal RNA is filed under the name Mycena sp. RNAcentral's name for it is "partial large subunit ribosomal RNA". Lineage: Eukaryota; Fungi; Basidiomycota; Agaricomycetes; Agaricales; Mycenaceae. The record is from RNAcentral.
CGUGAAAUUGUUGAAAGGGAAACGCUUGAAGUCAGUCGCGUUGUUCAGGAUUCAGCCUUGCUUUUGCUUGGUGUACUUCCUGUUCGACGGGUCAGCAUCAGUUUUGGCCGGUGG